Long non-coding RNA from Serinus canaria (Common canary), 3698 nucleotides. RefSeq lists it as uncharacterized. The transcript is spliced from 5 exons. NCBI's taxonomy places the organism in Eukaryota, Metazoa, Chordata, Aves, Passeriformes, Fringillidae. The record is from RefSeq and is a predicted model, not a curated record.
CCCAUGGGGCUCAGUUCUUCAGCUUGGAUAUUUCUGUCUGCACAUACACAGGAGAUAAAGGAGCACUUGAUCAUCCUCUGCCUCUUCUGGUGAUAGCAGCAAGCACGAGAGGAAGCACGAGUGAUGUGGAUCAUUUCAGCAGGGAGGGGUCACUGCAAAGGCCUGGCUCUCAGGAUAAUUACCUGUGCAGUGGUGGAAUCUCUGCUGAACUCAUGGGCUCUGUGGUGCUACCCACUGUCUGAUUAGCUUGUUUCUUUCCUCUCGUUGUUGUCAAGGUUCCAGCUGAAUCCCUGAGAUGGUGUUGGUUGGAUGAUGGUCCCCAGACCCUGCUGAGUGGUGCAUUCUCCUGUGGCCAGCUCUGAAAGAGGAAAUGAAAUUUGAGGUCAGAGUUGGCAAAAUCUUCAAAAGAAGAGAGAUCAAUGGAACAAUUGACAGUAUGCCUGAUGCAGGCAGCGUGCUGGGUAUCAGAUGCUGCAGAGCUUCAUCCUCUUCCUUCACUGUGCAGCCCAGCCUCGGGACAGGGAUGCAGCACAGAAGGAACAAGGCCAUGGAUGAAAUCAAGGGACACAGAAGUCUUUGGAGUCCCAUCUAUGUGACAAAACAAAAAUGAGUUGAAAAUGCUGAGUUUAUGUUGGGUUCAGCAAUCCUGAUGUCUGCACAGCUGAGAGAGAUCAUUCCCUGGGAGUGUGAGUGUGCCUCUGCAGCUUUGACCAGCCUCUCCCCUGCCCUGGGGAAGGAAGGAACAGCAGGGCUGGGAAGCUGUGCAGUCACAAUGUAAUGACUAAGAAUAAUUUUGGAGCAAACAAGCAUACAAUCACUGGGAAAGGAAGCUGGUUCACUUCAAGAUGUGAAGGGAAUUUUAAAUUACAUUUGAAAUGAAAUUACCUUGUCCAGAAGAUUUGUCUGUAUGGAUUAAUAUCUGUUGCUUGCCUGUAAACUCCUCUGCUGUGCAGGCGAUGGCAGAGCAGAGCAGCACCAGCCUUCAAGCAUCCCCCCCUGGCAGGAGGAAGGCAGGAGGAAGCACUUCCCCUGUGCCAUGGAGGUUCCUCUCAGAAACAGGUCAUAGAUAAAUGAAGCAAUGUGCAUAAAACCAUUGACCACUGAGAUGGUUUCUUCAGAUUCAUAGUCGUGUUGUUAAUAAUAAUCAUUACUUUGUUUAGAAAAACAUCCAAUCCCAGCCAAGCAGUUCCACCUUCCACAGACAGCAAUUCAAUUACUGUUUUGGUGGAGUUAAAUCUCUUGAUAUUCUGCUGAGAAAUUUUAUUCUUUAUUUAUUUUUAUGUUUUAUGGACUGGGACACAGGGACAUACUUGCCUGAGGGCACAAAAUGAUUUUACUUGAAGUUUUGUAGGACUUUUGCCAUAGUUAACAGUACAGGUGGAAAGGAGGCUCCCAGUCUUGUCCUUAGAUUAGGCCUCCCCAAACAGGUGCCCACAGUGCAGAAAUGUCUGUUUCCUGCUCUCACUAUUGCACAGAGUGUUGCUCUGCCCAUUCAAGCCAGGGAGAGCUCCUGCAGAAGAAGAAACAGCCUCCUGAUGGCCCAGCAAGCUCUCAACACCACUGGGGGGGACCACCUAAAUCACAGCCUCUCCUCAAAAGCCUCCUGCCUGUGCUUUACAGCUUCACCUGUUUGUCUCAGUUCCUCCUUUCUGUGAGUCCCUGUCCAAGCUCAGGCAAGGAAGAGCUUUUCCUGGGUACAGAAAUCUGUGGCUCUUGGGGCAUUUUUAAGCCCACUGCUGCCAGCCAAGCAGCUCAUUGAGAAAGCCCUUCAGAGCAAGCCCAGGCUGGGGCACAUCCCUUGGUGCCUGGGCACUUGUACCAGGCUGGGGCUCAGCAGGGGAAAUUUUUGUGUUUUCCAGCAUGAAAACAAAGCUCUUCUCUUGACUGAGAUCUCUGGCACUGCUGACAGCAUUUCCUGGGGUCCUGUCAACAGAGUGGUAUUUUCUCUAAAAACCAGGACCCAUAUUAAAUGUUUCUAAGCUGUGUUUAUGAAAAUCUUGGAGUCAUCUGAUUAGGAGCUUGGAUUUGGGGAAGCUGGACUCUUUCCAGCUUCCCCUCUUCAUCCUCAUUUCUGUAGGAUACUGCAGCUGCUCUGACGAAAAACAGUUAUUUAAAAAUUUGCUUGUAGCUAUGGCAACCUCCAUGCACUGUGUUUCAAUGGAAAAAAAAACAGCAUCAGAAGUUUCUUAACAGGAUAUUUAUGAAGAUUUUAGUCUUUGUACAUUUUAAAAUUGAAAUAUUCAGUUUUUAAAGGGGGGGAUUAGUAAGAUCUCAUUAAUUUUGGAAAAUGCAUUUUUCUUGUGAGGGCUGCUGCUUAGCAUUUUUUUUUUCUUUUCUUUUUUUUUUUUUUUUUUUUGUUUUGUUUGUUUUGUUUGUUUUGUUUUUGUUUACGAUUCCUCUGGUUGCUUUAACUCUUCAGAGCCUAAGACCUGGAGCAAGUGCCAGCCCCUCCCUCCUGUCUGUGCCUGCCUCCCACUCUGUCUUUCAGACCCUGUUUUUUUCCUGGAGGGACAGGGCAACCAGUUGUGCUGGCACAAGGCUGGAGCAGGGCUGGGGCUGUCAGACUUUGCCUUCCUGCAGUAAAUAACUCAGGGGGUUCAUUUAGCCCUUUGCCCAUUAAUUGCCUGUUGUUUGUCUGCUCUGAGAGAAGCAAAUAGAUGUGUUUGUAGUUGGGUUAUUUGGUAUCUCAAUGAUAUUUCAAUAUUCUUUCUCAAAGGCACAGACUAUCACAGGGUACUCAGUUUGCCUAGGCACAGCCCCAGCAGUAUUUAACCUCCCACACAACUCACCUGGGAAAGGUUAAAUUUGCAAAUCUGCUAUUUUUCUUUUGUUUUCUUCCCUCUUCCUUUCCUCUCUGCCUCUACACCUUCAAACUUGUGAGGAUAAAAUUAAGAAAGCCUCGCUGAAACACGCAGUCUGCUGCCCUAAACCCCUGGAGCCAUGCUGAUACCUUCUGGUGCCUCCGAGGUGUGGAUUAGGUCUAAUUAAUACUGGUUCUUGAUCAAUGGUUCUGACACAAAUGCAGGGAAGGGAUUUAUGUAAUUACUGCUGUAACAGCCAGGGAUUUUUGCUAGCAGCUCCCAGUGCUGUAGCAGGGGAGUUGGCUCCUGGUGACAGGAUUUUUGUGUGCCAGAGGUGACAGACUGCACCAUCACUCUCGAGUUCUUGUCCGUUUUUCCUUAUUCCUGCACAGGUUUGAAGGUACUUGUAGAGAUAAUCCAUGAUAUAUAUGUGUAUAAAAUAUUGUAAGAUCCAGCUUAUGUCUUUGACCACCCUGGCUGGGAGCAGAGUCUUGUUUCUAUUCAAUUAGUUCCCGGAGGUAGUUAAGAUAAUAUCAAGCCCGUUCAUAUAAGAAUGAAACCUUCCUGGGCCAUGAGGGCUGAUUUCCCAGGAAUGUCUGAGCCUGGGGAGAUUGCAUCUACCAGCUCAAGCACCGGAGCCACUCUGUUACAUGUGAAAGAAGGCUAUUCUGAAGAAGUCCAGACAGCCAUCCCAACUGGCUUUUGUACACUUCUGCAUCUGUAUGGUCCCAGUUCUACAUGUGAAGGGACACAAAGGAACCUUCUGUCAUUUCUGCCUCAGGCAGAAUAAAUGGGAUAUAAGCCAGGGCAUGAAGCAGUCGGGGUGAACCUCUGGGGAGACGCUGGCACUCUGCCAGUCGGAUCCAGGUUCACCCAGCGCCGACUCCCGGGCUUGAC